UAUUGAGUUCUCAAAAUUUUAAUUUAUUAUAAUUUUUUAUUCAAACUAUAUAAAUUAUUAUAAUCAGAUCGCACAAUUCAAUUUAGUUAAUUAAAUAUAAAUGACUUGCUCAUGAGAAAACAAUAGGACAUCUUAAUUAAUGUCGCAUCACCAAUCACAGUAUGUUAAUAUUUAAAAAAAUAAGUUGAGCUAUUUGAGACUUAAUUGUAAUAAUUCAGAAAGUUAAUAAUUGAAAUUUGAGGAUCGGAUUAUCGUGCUCCUCAUAGUGUGAUUUGGCCAAUUUAAUAUCUCCACUUACAACCGACCGUCCCUAGAGCAUGUGGCAAAGGACUUGGUGGUUGGAAUCCGAGGUCACAAGUUCGAAUCCUAGUUGAUUCAUAUUUCCAGCUAAGUUUAUUUCUAAAUAAAAUAAAUAAAGCGGAUAGGGCCUAUCUCUCUCUCAAAAAAAAAAAAAAAAAAAAAAACCUCUACUCACAAACAUAAUUUAGCGUUGGUCUCUAGAAUAUUAUUAGCAAUGUAUCCGCGCUUUGCCGCCAGUACGAUUGAUAUAUUUUUAAUUAUAUUUAUAAAAUAUAAUAUAUAUUACUAUUAAAUACUUAUAUAAUAGACACAUAUUUGUAUUAACAUUUAAUUCUAAACUAUAAAAUUUUGUUAUA
RNAcentral lists this long non-coding RNA (656 nucleotides) under Ananas comosus (pineapple). Its description in RNAcentral is "long non-coding RNA (ACOM_LNC033579)". Lineage: Eukaryota; Viridiplantae; Streptophyta; Magnoliopsida; Poales; Bromeliaceae. The record is from RNAcentral.